GCCUAACACAUGCAAGGCGAGGGGAAACAGGGGCUUCGGCCCGCUGACGACCGGCGCACGGGUGAGUAACGCGAAUGCAACCUGCCUGUAACAGCGGGAUAGCUCCCUGAAAGGGGAAUUAACACCGCAUAAGACCACGCUCUCGCAUGGGGACGGGGUAAAAUAUUUAUAGGUUACAGAUGGGCAUGCGUGACAUUAGUUAGUUGGUGAGGUAACGGCUCACCAAGACUGCGAUGUCUAGGGGUUCUGAGAGGAAGGUCCCCCACACUGGAACUGAGACACGGUCCACACUCCUACGGGAGGCAGCAGUGAGGAAUAUUGGUCAAUGGACGCAAGUCUGAACCAGCCAUGUCGCGUGCAGGAUGACUGCCCUAUGGGUUGUAAACUGCUUUUAUAUUGGAAGAAUUGCGCUUACAAGUUAAGCGUUUGACGGUACAUUAUGAAUAAGGAUCGGCUAACUCCGUGCCAGCAGCCGCGGUAAUACGGAGGGUGCAAGCGUUAAUCGGAAUCACUGGGCGUAAAGCGCGCGUAGGCGGUGAUGAAAGUCAGUGGUGAAAGCCCCCAGCUUAACUGGGGAAUUGCCAUUGAAACUGCAUUGCUUGAGUAUGUGAGAGGAUAGUGGAAUUCCUGGUGUAGGAGUGAAAUCCGUAGAUAUCAGGUAGAACACCAAUGGCGAAGGCAGCUUGCUGGGGACUUAUUGACGCUGAGGCUCGAAAGUGUGGGUAGCAAGCAGGAUUAGAUACCCUGGUAGUCCACACAGUAAACGAUGCAUACUGGGGCUUCCGGAUUUAAUUCGGGGUGCCGCAGCUAACGCGUUAAGUAUGCCGCCGGGGGAGUACGUACGCAAGUAUGAAACUCAAAGGAAUUGACGGGGGCCCGCACAAGCGGAGGAACAUGUGGUUUAAUUCGAUGAUACGCGAGGAACCUUACCCGGGUUUGAAUUGCUGAUGGCGAUAAUUGGAGACAGUUAUUUCCCUUCGGGGCGUCAGUGAAGGUGCUGCAUGGUUGUCGUCAGCUCGUGCCGUGAGGUGUCGGCUUAAGUGCCAUAACGAGCGCAACCCUUGCCGUUAGUUGCCAUCGGGUCAUGCCGGGCACUCUAUUGGGACUGCCAUCGUAAGAUGUGAGGAAGGUGGGGAUGACGUCAAAUCAGCACGGCCCUUAUGUCCGGGGCGACACACGUGUUACAAUGGGGGGUACAGUGGGAAGCUACCUGGCGACAGGUUGCGGAUCCCCAAAUCCUUUCUCAGUUCGGAUCGGAGUCUGUAACUCGACUCCGUGAAGUUGGAUUCGCUAGUAAUCGCGCAUCAGCCAUGGCGCGGUGAAUACGUUCCCGGGCCUUGCACUCACCGCCCGUCA
This 1356-nucleotide ribosomal RNA is filed under the name uncultured bacterium. Its description in RNAcentral is "16S ribosomal RNA". It matches the Rfam family "Bacterial small subunit ribosomal RNA", at positions 46 to 1399 of the family's 1533-position model. The record is from RNAcentral.